Regulatory RNA element from Clostridium chromiireducens, 116 nucleotides. It matches the Rfam family "FMN riboswitch aptamer (RFN element)". From Rfam's summary of the family: The RFN element is a highly conserved domain that is found frequently in the 5'-untranslated regions of prokaryotic mRNAs that encode for flavin mononucleotide (FMN) biosynthesis and transport proteins. This element is a metabolite-dependent riboswitch that directly binds FMN in the absence of proteins. The record is from Rfam. Lineage: Bacteria; Bacillati; Bacillota; Clostridia; Eubacteriales; Clostridiaceae.
AAAAGUCUUCAGGGUUGGGUGAAUUUCCCUACCGGCGGUACAGCCCGCGAGCUUUAAUUAGCAGAUUCGGUUAAAUUCCGAAGCCGACAGUAAAGUCUGGAUGAAAGAAGAUAGUG